AGAGUUUGUCAUGGCUCAGGAUGAACGCUAGCUACAGGCUUAACACAUGCAAGUCGAGGGGUAGCAGGGUAGCAAUACCGCUGACGACCGGCGCACGGGUGAGUAACACGUAUCCAACCUUCCCAUAACUCAGGGAUAGCCUUUCGAAAGAAAGAUUAAUACCUGAUAGUACUUUUUCAAGGCAUCUUAGAAAAAGUUAAAGAUUUAUUGGUUAUGGAUGGGGAUGCGUUCCAUUAGAUAGUUGGUGAGGUAACGGCUCACCAAGUCUUCGAUGGAUAGGGGUUCUGAGAGGAAGGUCCCCCACAUUGGUACUGAGACACGGACCAAACUCCUACGGGAGGCAGCAGUGAGGAAUAUUGGUCAAUGGGCGAGAGCCUGAACCAGCCAAGUAGCGUGAAGGAUGAAAGGUCCUAUGGAUUGUAAACUUCUUUUAUAGUAGAAUAAAGUGAUCCACGUGUGGAUUUUUGUAUGUAUACUAUGAAUAAGGAUCGGCUAACUCCGUGCCAGCAGCUGC
This 514-nucleotide ribosomal RNA is filed under the name uncultured bacterium. RNAcentral describes it as "bacterial SSU rRNA". It matches the Rfam family "Bacterial small subunit ribosomal RNA", at positions 8 to 518 of the family's 1533-position model. The record is from RNAcentral.